ACCGACGUGAACUACCCUGACAGGAAACCAAAAGGUUAAUCUUUUCAACUUCAUAGACGUCGGAUCCCCUGAAACACUGACGUCCCAUUUCAUUUUAAAUAGACCGCAGACUCUUCACACCAUUCAGUUUCUGAUCUCGUCUUCAUCUCUUCUCCUUUUUCUCUGAUUUUCCUCUUCUUUUACUCGCUUGGGCACCUCUACUUUUUAUCUCUUGCGGCAUUGCAUUGUUGUUUCUCAAUAUGUUAUUUUCUUCGUCCUCUCCUUUUUCUCUUUUGCAUCUC
This 281-nucleotide long non-coding RNA is filed under the name Vigna radiata. Its description in RNAcentral is "long non-coding RNA (VRAD_LNC009986)". Lineage: Eukaryota; Viridiplantae; Streptophyta; Magnoliopsida; Fabales; Fabaceae. The record is from RNAcentral.